CGCUCCGGAGAAGUCCACUCACAUGGGUGCCGAAGGUGAAAGCCGGGACAGUGUUCAGCCGUAGCUGACAUAGUCACGACGAAUCUCUCAGGCAAAAGGACGGAGUC
This 107-nucleotide non-coding RNA is filed under the name pig gut metagenome. Its description in RNAcentral is "Glycine riboswitch". It matches the Rfam family "Glycine riboswitch aptamer", at positions 9 to 86 of the family's 94-position model. Rfam says of the family: This family represents the bacterial glycine riboswitch. Glycine riboswitches usually consist of two metabolite-binding aptamers domains with similar structures in tandem. The record is from RNAcentral.